Molecule: unclassified non-coding RNA, 348 nt
Filed under: soil metagenome
Description: partial contains 5.8S ribosomal RNA, internal transcribed spacer 2, and large subunit ribosomal RNA
Rfam family: 5.8S ribosomal RNA (bases 1-120)
Source: RNAcentral
GAUGAAGAACGUAGCGAAAUGCGAUAAGUAAUGUGAAUUGCAGAAUUCAGUGAAUCAUCGAAUCUUUGAACGCACAUUGCGCCCGCCAGUAUUCUGGCGGGCAUGCCUGUCUGAGCGUCAUUUCAACCCUCACGCCCCUAGGGCGUGGUGUUGGGGAUCGGCCAAAGCCCGCGAGGGACGGCCGGCCCCUACAUCUAGUGGCGGACCCGUCGUGGCCUCCUCUGCGAAGUAGUGAUAUUCCGCAUCGGAGAGCGAUGAGCCCCUGCCGUUAAACCCCCAACUUUCCAAGGUUGACCUCAGAUCAGGUAGGAAUACCCGCUGAACUUAAGCAUAUCAAUAAGCGGAGGA